This 26-nucleotide non-coding RNA is filed under the name Mus musculus (house mouse). Lineage: Eukaryota; Metazoa; Chordata; Mammalia; Rodentia; Muridae. The record is from RNAcentral.
UAGUAAUGGUGUGUAUGACACUUGGU